CGGAGGGUGCAAGCGUUGUCCGGAUUUAUGGGUUUAAAGGGUGCGUAGGCGGCUAUUUAAGUCAGUGGUGAAAUCCUGCAGCUCAACUGUAGAACAGCCAUUGAUACUGAAUAGCUUGAGUACAGACGAGGUAGGCGGAAUUUAUGGUGUAGCGGUGAGAUGCAUAGAUACCAUAAAGAACCCCUAUUGCGAAGGCAGCUUACUAGGCUGUAACUGACGCUGAGGCACGAAAGCGUGGGGAUCAAACAGGAUUAGAUACCCUGGUAGUCCACGCCGUAAACGAUGAUUACUCGAUGUUCGUGAUAUACAGUGAGCGUCCAAGCGAAAGCGUUAAGUAAUCCACCUGGGAAGUACGAUCGCAAGAUUG
This 367-nucleotide ribosomal RNA is filed under the name uncultured organism. Its description in RNAcentral is "bacterial SSU rRNA". It matches the Rfam family "Bacterial small subunit ribosomal RNA", at positions 526 to 896 of the family's 1533-position model. The record is from RNAcentral.